Siniperca chuatsi (mandarin fish) is the source of this 3330-nucleotide long non-coding RNA. RefSeq lists it as uncharacterized. The transcript is spliced from 2 exons. Lineage: Eukaryota; Metazoa; Chordata; Actinopteri; Centrarchiformes; Sinipercidae. The record is from RefSeq and is a predicted model, not a curated record.
AAACACAAAAGACACACAAACUACACAGCUUUUGCAUCAGCCAGUAUGCCUAAGCUGGACAAUACAUAUAAAGGAUUCAUUUCCAUUUAGUCAGUGAUAAGGUAACAGGUGGAGAUAGAGGACUAUCUUCCCACCCGAGCACCACUCUAUGUGAAUAGCCUGUUGUUCUACUUCCUUACUGACAUAUAGUGUUGCAUUAGAAAAGAGCAUUUUCUUCAAAUCUGCAUUUCAAAGACUUUUAUGUACAUUAAUUCAAUAUUUAAUUCAAGAAAUAAACAUAAAAGUAACAAAUGUACUUCCACCAGGAAGAGGCUCCUGCUCGUUUAGAUGACUUAAUGGCUCUGGGCCAUUAGCAAUAGCAUGUCUCUGUAAUAACAGUUGCCUAACUGACUUGGUUAUUUAGUAACCCAAACACAAAUACUGCCGUAUCAUAUCAGCAAAGUAAUUUAUUGGGCAGUGAGUUGAGUGCUUUGAGGAAGAGAAAGGUACACAAUCAAAAGCUGUUUUAUUCCCCUUCCUGGAAUCCAUGAACUUGGCUACGGAAAAUGAGGCUGAAGAACUGGAGCAGGCAACCAUGGCGAUCUUUAUCACUGGGAAAGAGGAUCCUUUCCAUCCACCCAAAGACAUUAAGAUAGUCAUCGAAGGAAGAGAGGUCCUGAACGAGUUGCCCUCGGUUGCAACAGCUUUUGCCAUGUUCUCCGGGCUCAUAUACACACUCAACCUAAAACAUCCAAAAAAACUGCAAUACACCUUUGAAUUUGUGCCUAUCCUGAUGGAACUUGAUGGAAAAAAGAUGACCCUAAAAGUUAGUAGACUGAGCACACACUUGCACUGACUUGCUUGAUUCUGUUUUCCCAUUGGUGCUCACAUUUUAUUGUGUUUCUACAACCAACAAUUUGGACCCUUUAUAAGAGGCUGGUGUUUGGAGGUUGCACUUCCAUGACUGCAUUUUCACUGCUGUUUUUGCAAACAUGUAUGCCCAACAUCAAUAGUCUUGUCUCUGGUGUCCAUCUUUUAUAAAUUUGAAAUUUAUAAGAUGUGCAAUAUUGUUAUAAUAACAUGUAAUUCUAUUUUAGGGUGUUAAGAGGAAAUGUGUUUUGUCAGAAAAACUAACCUAAUUAAGUGUUACUACUAAUUUGUGAUGUCAUCACGUCACAGUUUGAAUUAAUCACUCAUUCAUUCAUUCACAAAUUUGUGGGCUCAAAGAAUUUAUCCAUUACAUCCAAAUAAGUUGUAUUUAAAGAUUAACUAAACACAUGGUUCUUUUGCUGCCUUUUUAAAAAAAAAAGUUGAACCAACUGAGGCCUCUGUGACAUUCACAGUCUGGCGAUAUUCUAUAUUUUUGUUAUUGUCUACAAAUCCCAUGAAAAGACCAAAACCAACAAUUUGUCUCAAUAUUUUCCAACCUCUCCAGCCUGUCUGUAGCUCUCAGCCACAAGCCCAUUGGUUCCUUCUGAAGAUGUAAAUCUUAAAAUAUAUAAAUAAAUAAAAAGGCUAAAUAAUUUAUUGUGAAUUUGUUGGGGACUAUUUUUAGCAGCAGAUGAAUCCACUUUCACAAGACUUAUCCUUAAACAGUCUUAGUCUUAGCAUCAUUGAUAUGUGAUUCUAUGCAGUGUACCCUGUGGGAACUCAAGUUCAUACUGUACAAUUUAAAACUCUGAUCUUGGUAUACAGUCUUUAACACCUAAAAUCAGACUCUAUGAAAUUAAAGGUUAAAUAAACAGUUAAUAAUAGUAAUAAUUAUCUUCCCUCUAACAGUUGUUAUUGACUGACUUCCACUACUUGUCCAAAAUACAACAGAUAUUUAAAAUCUAGGCGCAAUCAUAUGUAAAUACGAAACAUAUUAUAUCUGAAAUGCUGAUGAUGAUGCGUUGAAACAGAAAAAUUCCAGGUAGACUUUCACUGCAAACUCAAAAAACUCAACUCUGCUUGUCCCAUUUCUGUCAGUGGAAGCACAUGCAGACAGUGCCCCCAUGUGGUCAUGGUGGUGACAUAAUUGUAUGCCGUUGCUUGGAUGGUCUUUUACACCAUUAAAUGGCACAUAGUAAUUGAGAAAAUUAAAGAAAAAUUAUUGACCUGAAAUAUGCCUCUCAGGCUGAGCUUACCCCUGUGUACCAUUCCAACAAGCUCCAUCAAUCAAAUGUUUGUAUUUUGGUUGGAGCUGGUAGGUUUAGGGCCAUGUUUGGGGUUGGGAUCUAAGUUUAGGAGGUGGGAGAUGUGUGCAGCCAGAGAGGAAGUUGUGCCUGAGAGGCUCAGCAGAGGGCAAACAAUUUCCCCCUUGGAAAAACCUGUUCUGCCAGAAUCCUUCUUCCCUACUCUCUCAGGGUGUGUCAUUCAAUCAAUACAACAGUCCUCUGGUUUGACUCUUCUGUACAGACAUUAUUUUCAAACUAACUUAUUUAGGUGACUCCUUUUUUGGUUUCAGGCCCCAAUUGGACAUAAUGUGCGAGGUGAGGUCAGAUGUACAUGAGAGGUAUUUUACAUAAUGUGCUGGUAAAUGUAAAUCAUGGAGUUAAUUUGCAAUGCAGUGAACAUCAUGCAAAGGGAGUUCUUUUCUGGAUUUUUUUUUUUUUUUUAAGUUUAAGAAUGGUGCCUUAAGUGGAAAAAGAAGAUUGGAAAUUGUAAUAAAGUGUCAUCAUAGGUGGCUUAAAAGAGCAAAUGAUUUUUACCUCCUGCUAAAUUACAUUUUUUCUAGCCAGUGCCAUACAAAAACAAACAUUUUUACUUGCUUUUAAUACGCGGAAGGAGUUGAGACGAUCCUGCAUAAAGUUCAGUUUGAUUUAAACAUAUCAGGACUAUGUUUUUUCAGUCUGUUUCAAUGUGAACAUAAGUGCAGGCUUGUAUUUUUUAAAUGUAAAUUCAAGAUUGCAAAUAUUUACUAUUUUACUGGACCAAGUAGACACUCUGUACUUAGUACUCAAAGUAAUAUGGAGUCAUUUCUCUAUAAAAAGACUAAAAACACAUACAGGAGUCAAUGUGACUUUAACACAAUAGUCAGGUGCCCAUAUGAACACUGAAACAGGUUUUGCUGCAAUCAUUCCUCCUAUUCAUACUGGCUGUAAAGAGAUCGCUUCCUCAUGCUUUUCCAGUGUAUGAUGGGGGACAAAUCCACUGGAUUUGAUUAACUCAGCCUGCUGAAGCCUCAUUAACUUCAGAUAAACUUUUGAAUACAUUUUUGCACAGGAUUUUGUCCCCAAGCUCUUACACUGAAAGUACAUUAAACAUCUCUUAAUGGCCAGUAUGAACAGGAGCAUUACCUCUUCAGUGUUCAUGUGGGCACCUGACUAUUGUUUUAAGACAGACUUGAAAUUUGAUCCUAUCCUGUUUUUC